UACGGAGGGUGCAAACGUUGCUCGGAAUCAUUGGGCGUAAAGCGCACGUAGGCGGUCCUGCAAGUCGGGUGUGAAAGCCCUCGGCUCAACCGAGGAAGUGCAUCCGAAACUGCAGAACUUGAGUAGUGAAGAGGGUCUCGGAAUUCCCGGUGUAGAGGUGAAAUUCGUAGAUAUCGGGAGGAACACCAGCGGCGAAGGCGGAGACCUGGGCACAUACUGACGCUGAGGUGCGAAAGCGUGGGGAGCAAACAGG
This 253-nucleotide ribosomal RNA is filed under the name uncultured bacterium. RNAcentral describes it as "partial 16S ribosomal RNA". It matches the Rfam family "Bacterial small subunit ribosomal RNA", at positions 524 to 776 of the family's 1533-position model. The record is from RNAcentral.